Molecule: unclassified non-coding RNA, 236 nt
Filed under: Hevea brasiliensis (rubber tree)
Lineage: Eukaryota; Viridiplantae; Streptophyta; Magnoliopsida; Malpighiales; Euphorbiaceae
Source: RNAcentral
UAUGAUGCCCAGUCUUGGAUUUUGUUGAUGAUAUCUUGGAUUUCUGUAUCUCGGAUUAUUUGGUUGGUUUGGGAAGUUUGGGAGGUUUGGUUAGGAUUAUUGGAGAGGGAAAGCUAAUCUCUACCCUCAUGGAGAAGCAGCAGAGCUUCCGGAUUGGAGCAUUGGAGAAGCUCCAGAGCUUCCGGAAGCAGAAAAGCUUUCGCAUGGGGGAGAAGCAACAGAGCUUUAAGGAGAGG